UGAAGUUCCAAAACUAGAUAGAGAGUGAUAUAGGGUGAGAAAGUUGAAGGCACGGAAGAUCAAGACAUCGUCUUCAACGUCGACUCUCUCUUUUUCUUGAUAUGUAUUGUAAGCCACAAUCUUUGAAGACCUUGUAGGCGGUAGCUUAAAUGCCUUAGAGCUGGGGAACACCAUCUUUGUGUUAGUAACAAAAUAUACUUCUCUGAAACAAACUAUAUUAACCGUAUCAUAAAUAAAUAAUGUAGACAAAAUAUACUUCUUUGAAACAAACUAUUAAUUGUUUCAUAUGUGUUCUU
Molecule: long non-coding RNA, 296 nt
Filed under: Medicago truncatula (barrel medic)
Lineage: Eukaryota; Viridiplantae; Streptophyta; Magnoliopsida; Fabales; Fabaceae
Description: lncRNA gene32949
Source: RNAcentral